Molecule: non-coding RNA, 2305 nt
Organism: Arvicanthis niloticus (Nile rat)
Lineage: Eukaryota; Metazoa; Chordata; Mammalia; Rodentia; Muridae
Source: RefSeq, a predicted model, not a curated record
AGUCUGUUUCCAGAUCCUGCCUAUUGUGUGAUCAUGAUUGAGGGUUUUAUUUCCAAGUUCAGUUUAGCCACUGUACCACAUAGCCCUGUUGUUCUUACAGGAAGGCAUUUUGUGCUUCUCUUUGGAAGCCCCUUAUCACUACCAUCUCUGCUGUGGUGCUUUGGGAUUAUUGCUGACUAAAGGCAGGUUACCUGAAGACAAGGAUUGUGAUGCCAUGACAGAGACCCCUGUGAGCUGAGGGUGAAGAGUGUAGACCAACCAUUCCUUCCAAAGGAUGAACACUGUAGGCUUGACCAAGAAAUAGGAAACAAGAUUUUCCUACCAGAGAUUUGGUUCCCUUCUAAAAACCAUGAAUUCUGUUUUUCUGAAAUCUCAGGAAGCAAACCUGAACACCUCUCCCCAUUUUUAAAACCGUGGAUUUCCAACAUAUGUUCCUACCAACUGUUCUGAGAACUACAGUGGCUUCGCUGGGCUGUGGCCACUUGCUCUGUUUGAAUACUCUGUGGAAAGCCAGUUGCUGAGACCUUGAGUUUAGAGGUGAGUGAUGAAUGGCUCUUGCAGUUCUGUUGAAGGAUCCUAAACAUUCCCUUCUUUGCCUGCAACAGUGAUAGCCAGGAGCUGCUUCUCUAGCACCCUGAAGCUCAGAGACAGUCACAACGGAGGUUCUUUGUGCAUUGUGGUCACAGCAUCUAUCAAGUAACAAGCCAGGAUGGACUAAGCUACUGAAGAGAGAUCAUGUGUGCUUCAAUAGCACUGAGUGGGAACCCAGCUUGUCAGACCAUGCUAAUCCUCAGAGCAAGGCUUUUUUUCAUAGGACUGAGAGCAGCACUGUGGGGAUGGCAGUGAGUGUAAGGGGUGGUCCAUGAUGCUACAUGCUCUCUUCUGUGUUUCUCCUUCUAUCUACCAUUUUGUUUUUAUCUUAUGUCUUGUGGAUAGUUAAUGGAAAGUGAAGAACCCAUGGACUUCAGUGAUGUUUGAUGUUCAAAACAAAAAUGACCUUCCCUCACAUUUACGCACCAUUCCUUGUUGUUUCUCUGUCUCUAUAGACUACAGCUGAUGAACUGAAGUACACUGAAUUUCUAAAUAAGUAAAAAAUACAGGAAGGGUAUGAAGUGCCAAAUGAUUUGAUUUUUGCCAAUGGAAGAGUUCAUUCAUCCACUUCCACAGAAGAACAGCUGUGUCCACAAAGUGAUUUGAGCUCCUAGUUUGAAAAAUAUAUUUAAAUAAUUGAACAAAUAUACAAGUAUACAAAUAUAUAAAGCCCAUGGCUAAACUUCAUACUUGCAUUUUGCUUUUUACUGUGAAGGACUCAAUAGUUUUUGAAAGAAAUUUCCUUGGACCAUGUGUUAUUGAAAUGUUUGGGAUGCAAAUGUUUUGCUAAGUUUAUAUAUGCAUUAGCAGUUGGGCCACUUUAGGACCUCGGACAAGUUAAUUAAAGUAUAUAAAGUGGUUUUCUUUUGUACUAUAAGGAAAUGCCAUCUAGCUAUUAAUAAGUUUGGUUAAAUAAAAUAAGGAAAAUGGCUAUACAACUGUGUGUUCUACACAAUCUGCACACACUUAUGCUACCAUUUUCCAGUAAGCUUCUGUUUUCACAUCAACCUUCUCACACACCUCCCUCUUCCCAAAUCAGCACAAGUACCUGAGAAGAAUGCAAUGGGCGAGGCUGACAGUGAGUCAGGCUGCAGUGGGUGUUGCUGUAACAGAGGCAUUCAUCAGCAUCACUGUGGUUGAGAAUGCACAUUUAGCUGUGGUUGAAUUGUUCACAUCAAAACAAAAUCUCAUCUGUAUUACAGAAACUCGGCUGUGUUGGGCUUUGAACAUAAUCCAAGACACUGAAGAUAGGAACAGAAUUGGGCAUUUGGAGAAACCCGAGUGAGAAAGGCGUUCUUCAUUUUUCUGUGCUUAUCUGCCUCAAAGGGUGCUCUGAUUUUGCUAAUUGCUCAGAGAGCGCUUCGAUUUGCUAUUUUCUGCAAACAGUAUUCUAAUCCAGUUUAGCUUCUGGUUUGCAGCUGUGUUCAAGUGGCCUAAUAGGUUUGCUGCAUGCCGCACUACAUUGCAAUUAAUUCACUGGGUUCCUCAUGUGAAAUGAUUUACACCUAUUUAGAACUAAAUUGGAAGCCAUUCCACCAUUGCAUCUGAAGUCAUUAACACAGCUUUUAAACGACAUUAAUAUGCACUUAAUCCUUUUCAGAUAAGGAUCUCAAAGCACUCUGAGUUCAUUAUCAUUAAUGUGGGAGAGAGAAUUGAAAGCUGUAUUCAGAAGUGACUUUGAAAGACAGGAAAUAAAUAAAAAUGCAUUUAAAAC